Molecule: ribosomal RNA, 157 nt
Filed under: Mucor racemosus
Lineage: Eukaryota; Fungi; Mucoromycota; Mucoromycetes; Mucorales; Mucoraceae
Also listed under: 8 other names
Description: 5.8S ribosomal RNA
Rfam family: 5.8S ribosomal RNA
About the family: 5.8S ribosomal RNA (5.8S rRNA) is a component of the large subunit of the eukaryotic ribosome. It is transcribed by RNA polymerase I as part of the 45S precursor that also contains 18S and 28S rRNA.
Source: RNAcentral
CAACUUUUAACAACGGAUCUCUUGGUUCUCGCAUCGAUGAAGAACGUAGCAAAGUGCGAUAACUAGUGUGAAUUGCAUAUUCAGUGAAUCAUCGAGUCUUUGAACGCAACUUGCGCUCAUUGGUAUUCCAAUGAGCACGCCUGUUUCAGUAUCAAAA